Ornithorhynchus anatinus (platypus) is the source of this 1298-nucleotide long non-coding RNA. RefSeq lists it as uncharacterized. The record is from RefSeq and is a predicted model, not a curated record. The transcript has 3 exons. Lineage: Eukaryota; Metazoa; Chordata; Mammalia; Monotremata; Ornithorhynchidae.
UUCUCGCCCUGCCGGAUGAACGGCGGCCUGGCUCCUCCUCUCCCUCCUGGACCAUUUGGUUUCCAGCCCCUUCCCACGGAACCCGGAGAUUAAAGCCAUGCUGCUUCUGGCUGGACAGAGAUGGAGCUGUAUCCUAGGGGCAGCGAAGGCCCCGCGGACCUAGUGGACAGCACCGUGGAGCUAGAAUAAACUGAAACCGUGAGGAAACUCCCGGGGAAAAUUAAAACCCCAAAAGGUACCCACACCUGUACCCCUUCCGGGCUUCCCGUAGGCCUGGCUGGGACGGCUCUCAGAAGGGACGCAGAGAACCUGGAGGAGAAAGCCCAGUGUGACUUCGCCUUUGGGCCGGGCCGGGAGAUCUCCGGCCGGGAGAGAGUGGGAUUGAUGCGGUGCCCACCAUCGCCCCAGGACCAGGAGAGAUCUUGCGGAAGGGCUGGACAUCCCUAGAAGACAAGGCAGGAUCGUUGUCAAAACUAUAAUGGCACCAGGGCCGAAGCUAUGCUAAGUGCUUCUUGGGAGAAAGCUCUGGCAACCGUUAGGAAAAAAUACUCCAUCACCUCACCCCCCCACAAGGGGCUGUUUUUCUGAGCAAAAAGGCUAUUUCACAGUUUGGAUUCAUGAUUUCUUUUUGUGACCCUGAGAGGUCUUACUCGUUUUGUUCUACAACUCUAUUACCUUUCGGUAUGCUUCCACCGAGCUCACUGCAAACCUGGAAUUCCAGCUCGCCGUUCUCCGCGGAGCUUAAACAGGAAGGCUGCCGACAGCCCCGGAAUGAAGAUGGUUCUUCCGGGACCUUGCAGGCACUCUGAAUACUGAAGGUCAGCGGACACACUGAGAGGAAAAAUAAAACGAUUUUGGUCCAUUACGGGGUAGUUGCAUUUAGGGAAACGGUGAGAAAAAAGAGCUUGGAACGGAACGAAACAAAGAAAAGAGAGACAGUGCCACAUCUCCUCCUGGAGGACCAGAGAAGUGAAGUGACUCGUCCAAGGUCACACCACGUGCAAGUAGCAGUGCCAGGAUUAGAACACAGGUCUGAUUCGUCCAGUAGAGUAGGUAUAUCCUGCUUCCAUGAUGCCCGAGGCUAUAAGACCCAUUGACUUUUUGAUUUUAAACAAGCCUGCAACCAGCCUUCUAUUGUCCUAUCUCCAGACCGUAAGCUCGGUGUGGGUAGGGAACAUGUCUACCGCCUCUGUUGCUCCUCCAUUCCUUCCCGUGACAGUUGUAGUUUCAGCCUCUCCCUCUCUAGCCGACCUCCCCUCCUCUCCCAUCCUGGAGGAGAAAUUCCUCCAGGAAAGAGA